UACGUAGGGUGCAAGCGUUAUCCGGAUUCACUGGGUUUAAAGGGUGCGUAGGUGGGCAGGUAAGUCAGUGGUGAAAUCUCCGGGCUUAACCCGGAAACUGCCAUUGAUACUAUCUGUCUUGAAUACCGUGGAGGUGAGCGGAAUAUGUCAUGUAGCGGUGAAAUGCUUAGAUAUGACAUAGAACACCAAUUGCGAAGGCAGCUCACUACACGAAUAUUGACACUGAGGCACGAAAGCGUGGGGAUCAAACAGG
Molecule: ribosomal RNA, 253 nt
Filed under: uncultured bacterium
Lineage: Bacteria
Description: partial 16S ribosomal RNA
Rfam family: Bacterial small subunit ribosomal RNA
Source: RNAcentral